GGAUGUGAGGGCGAUCAGGCUGCGACAUCUGUCACCCUAUUGAUUGCCAGGGUUGAUUCAGCUGAUCUGGCUGGCUAGGCAGGUGUCCCCUUCCUCCCUCACUGUUCCAUGUGCUUUCCCCCUGAAGCUGCGUGCUCGGUGGAAGAGGACGACCAUCCCUGAUAGAGGAGGACUGUUCUUCUGUCAAGGGUAUACCGAGUAGCUGUGCUCCCCUGCUAGAACCUCCAAAUAAGCUCUCAAUGUCUUCUUGGUCAACACCUUCUAAUAGUUGGAAAAUCUCAGGUGGAUUUUCAGUCUUCUUACUAUUCUGCAUGAAUUAGGACAAGUGAUUGGUUGCCAUAGAUU
RNAcentral lists this small nuclear RNA (345 nucleotides) under Castor canadensis (American beaver). RNAcentral's name for it is "7SK RNA (ENSCCNG00000011893.1)". It matches the Rfam family "7SK RNA". Rfam says of the family: 7SK was discovered as an abundant small nuclear RNA in the mid-70s but a possible function has only recently been suggested. Two independent studies have found that 7SK RNA binds the CDK9/cyclin T complex (known as elongation factor P-TEFb). The record is from RNAcentral. Lineage: Eukaryota; Metazoa; Chordata; Mammalia; Rodentia; Castoridae.